RNAcentral lists this ribosomal RNA (301 nucleotides) under uncultured bacterium. Its description in RNAcentral is "partial 16S ribosomal RNA". It matches the Rfam family "Bacterial small subunit ribosomal RNA", at positions 509 to 809 of the family's 1533-position model. The record is from RNAcentral.
CAGCAGCCGCGGGAAUACCGAGGGUGCGAGCGUUAAUCGGAUUUACUGGGCGUAAAGCGUGCGUAGGCGGCUUCUUAAGUCGGAUGUGAAAUCCCUGAGCUUAACUUAGGAAUUGCAUUAGAUACUGGGAAGCUAGAGUAUGGGAGAGGAUGGUAGAAUUCCAGGUGUAGCGGUGAAAUGCGUAGAGAUCUGGAGGAAUACCGAUGGCGAAGGCAGCCAUCUGGCCUAAUACUGACGCUGAGGUACGAAAGCAUGGGGAGCAAACAGGAUUAGAUACCCGUGUAGUCCCUGUCUCUUAUAA